UGGGGAAUUUUGCACAAUGGGGGAAACCCUGAUGCAGCGACGCCGCGUGAUUUAGAAGGCCUUUGGGCUGUAAAAAUCUUUUCUAUGGGAAGAAAAUGACAGUACCAUAGGAAUAAGGACCGGCUAAUUACGUGCCAGCAGCCGCGGUAAUACGUAAGGUCCGAGCGUUGUCCGGAAUCAUUGGGCGUAAAGGGUACGUAGGCGGGUAAACAAGUUAGAAGUGAAAUCCUAUAGCUCAACUAUAGUAAGCUUUUAAAACUGCUCAUCUUGAGGUAUGGAAGGGAAAGUGGAAUUCCUAGUGUAGCGGUGAAAUGCGCAGAUAUUAGGAGGAAUACCGGUGGCGAAGGCGACUUUCUGGCCAUAACCUGACGCUGAGGUACGAAAGCGUGGGUAGCAAACAGG
Molecule: ribosomal RNA, 402 nt
Filed under: bacterium
Lineage: Bacteria
Description: partial 16S ribosomal RNA
Rfam family: Bacterial small subunit ribosomal RNA
Source: RNAcentral